This 640-nucleotide long non-coding RNA is filed under the name Trifolium pratense (red clover). Its description in RNAcentral is "long non-coding RNA (TPRA_LNC009921)". The record is from RNAcentral. Lineage: Eukaryota; Viridiplantae; Streptophyta; Magnoliopsida; Fabales; Fabaceae.
AUACACCUUUAUGAUAUUAUGUCAUUUUAUGAAUUACGUUAUAAAAUUAUGUUAUGGACUGACUAUCAUGAUUAGAGAACUAUAUUAGUUCAUUAGUUGCCCCGGUGUAAACACUGAUAGUAACUGGGUAGUAGGAAUCCACUGAGACGAAGUGACUGUUCUCAUCCCCCACUUAUUUGAUUUCAGAUAAGCAGGUUGAUCGAGAUAUCUUGGUUUGCUAGCAUGAAGAUUCAGAUACGCGGAUUACGUUAUGGAGCUGACAUCAUGUUAAUCUUAUUAUUAUAUAAGAUUCAGUGUAUUUAAGUUCAAUAGUUAGCUCAAUCAUGUAUUCAUUUAGUGGAUUAUUGUAAUCCUAUCCAUGUAUUUGAUCUUUAUGUAAUGAUGAUUAAUGUUUCCCGAUUCAGUUAUGUUCACUUUUGUCGAUAUUCUAGAUAAAUUGACAUGGGGUGUUAUAAUUGGUAUCAGAGCAGGUCGAUUCAGUAUCGGACCUUGCCGCGGAUCAUUAAAGUUCAAUAAAAGUAGUACGGACCCUUUGGAGUCUGAACUGUUUACGCUGAAAUCAUCGUGUGCUGAGCCUGAUCAACUCAGUAUCGUGUAUGGUAGGCAGGGUAUUACGGUUGAGAACCGAAGUGGACCAAGG